UUCCUACUCCCUCCGUUCCGAAUUACUUGUCUUGGAUUUGUCUAGAUACGGAGGUAUCUAGCACUAAAUGAGUCUAGAUACAUCCGUAUCUAGACAAAUCCAAGACAAGUAAUUCGGAGCGGAGGGAGUAGUAG
Molecule: non-coding RNA, 134 nt
Organism: Triticum aestivum (bread wheat)
Lineage: Eukaryota; Viridiplantae; Streptophyta; Magnoliopsida; Poales; Poaceae
Source: Rfam